This 170-nucleotide ribosomal RNA is filed under the name Peribacillus simplex. RNAcentral describes it as "Bacillus simplex partial 16S ribosomal RNA". It matches the Rfam family "Bacterial small subunit ribosomal RNA", at positions 1 to 166 of the family's 1533-position model. Lineage: Bacteria; Bacillati; Bacillota; Bacilli; Caryophanales; Bacillaceae. The record is from RNAcentral.
UUCUUCGGAGAGUUUGAUCCUGGCUCAGGACGAACGCUGGCGGCGUGCCUAAUACAUGCAAGUCGAGCGGAUCGACGGGAGCUUGCUCCCUGAGAUUAGCGGCGGACGGGUGAGUAACACGUGGGCAACCUGCCUAUAAGACUGGGAUAACUUCGGGAAACCGGAGCUAA